This 563-nucleotide ribosomal RNA is filed under the name uncultured archaeon. Its description in RNAcentral is "bacterial SSU rRNA". It matches the Rfam family "Archaeal small subunit ribosomal RNA", at positions 326 to 889 of the family's 1478-position model. The record is from RNAcentral.
CGGGGUGCAGCAGGCGCGAAAACUUUACAAUGCCGGCAACGGCGAUAAGGGAACCUCGAGUGCCAGGUUACAAAUCUGGCUGUCGUGAUGCCUAAAAAGCAUUGCAUAGCAAGGGCCGGGCGAGACCGGUGCCAGCCGCCGCGGUAACACCGGCGGCUCGAGUGGUAACCGUUAUUAUUGGGUCUAAAGGGUCUGUAGCCGGCCGGGUAAGUCUCUUGGGAAAUCUGGCAGCUUAACUGUCAGGCUUUCAGGAGAUACUGCCUGGCUCGAGGCCGGGAGAGGUGAGAGGUACUUCAGGGGUAGGGGUGAAAUCUUGUAAUCCUUGAAGGACCACCAGUGGCGAAGGCGUCUCACCAGAACGGACCUGACGGCAAGGGACGAAAGCUAGGGGCACGAACCGGAUUAGAUACCCGGGUAGUCCUAGCCGUAAACGAUACUCGCUAGGUGUCGGCCACGGUGCGACCGUGGUCGGUGCCGUAGGGAAGCCGUGAAGCGAGCCACCUGGGAAGUACGGCCGCAAGGCUGAAACUUAAAGGAAUUGGCGGGGGAGCACAAGGGCAAAU